GGCUCAGAUUGAACGCUGGCGGCAGGCCUAACACAUGCAAGUCGAGCGGUAGAGAGAAGCUUGCUUCUCUUGAGAGCGGCGGACGGGUGAGUAAUGCCUAGGAAUCUGCCUGGUAGUGGGGGAUAACGUUCGGAAACGGACGCUAAUACCGCAUACGUCCUACGGGAGAAAGCAGGGGACCUUCGGGCCUUGCGCUAUCAGAUGAGCCUAGGUCGGAUUAGCUAGUUGGUGAGGUAAUGGCUCACCAAGGCGACGAUCCGUAACUGGUCUGAGAGGAUGAUCAGUCACACUGGAACUGAGACACGGUCCAGACUCCUACGGGAGGCAGCAGUGGGGAAUAUUGGACAAUGGGCGAAAGCCUGAUCCAGCCAUGCCGCGUGUGUGAAGAAGGUCUUCGGAUUGUAAAGCACUUUAAGUUGGGAGGAAGGGUAGUAACCUAAUACGUUGCUACUUUGACGUUACCGACAGAAUAAGCACCGGCUAACUUCGUG
Molecule: ribosomal RNA, 491 nt
Filed under: uncultured bacterium
Lineage: Bacteria
Description: bacterial SSU rRNA
Rfam family: Bacterial small subunit ribosomal RNA
Source: RNAcentral